GAGUUUGAUCUUGGCUCAGGAUGAACGCUGGCGGCGUGCCUAAUACAUGCAAGUCGAGCGAACGGACGAGAAGCUUGCUUCUCUGAUGUUAGCGGCGGACGGGUGAGUAACACGUGGAUAACCUACCUAUAAGACUGGGAUAACUUCGGGAAGCCGGAGCUAAUACCGGAUAAUAUUUUGAACCGCAUGGUUCAAAAGUGAAAGACGGUCUUGCUGUCACUUAUAGAUGGAUCCGCGCUGCAUUAGCUAGUUGGUAAGGUAACGGCUUACCAAGGCAACGAUGCAUAGCCGACCUGAGAGGGUGAUCGGCCACACUGGAACUGAGACACGGUCCAGACUCCUACGGGAGGCAGCAGUAGGGAAUCUUCCGCAAUGGGCGAAAGCCUGACGGAGCAACGCCGCGUGAGUGAUGGAGGUCUUCGGAUCGUAAAACUCUGUUAUUAGGGAAGAACAUAUGUGUAAGUAACUGUGCACAUCUUGACGGUACCUAAUCAGAAAGCCACGGCUAACUAC
Molecule: ribosomal RNA, 513 nt
Filed under: uncultured microorganism
Description: bacterial SSU rRNA
Rfam family: Bacterial small subunit ribosomal RNA
Source: RNAcentral